UGCCGCACCGUUAUGUUAGGCGGCCGCUUCCCCCUUCGCAAUUCUGCUGCUUCCGCCUUCCUCCAGUCUCUUGGUGGAGAUUUAGGCUUCAGCUCGUGGAAAAUAAUCAUGGAACUGGAUUUCAGGGAUCCUGCGCACGUCGUACUGAGCUCUUCAGGAAUGAAAAAGCAUGAUGUUUUCCAUGGCAAUGUGGUAUCUCCGGUUCCUCACCUCAAACCCUGUGCAAGCCCUAAGCUGGGCUGGCCUUCAGUGUCUGCCCUUUGUAUGAUCAGGUGGUUGGCGUGAGAGGGCCACAGCAGGUCCAUCCAUGAUGUCACAAAUGGUGGAAUUUCCUUCUCUUUUAAGGCUGAAUAACAUUCUGUUGUAUGCAUGUACCACAUUUUCUUUAUCCAUUUGUCUGUUAUUGGAAAUUUGGGUUGUUUCCACAUCUUGACUAUUGUGAAUCAUGCUGU
Long non-coding RNA from Diceros bicornis minor, 452 nucleotides. RefSeq lists it as uncharacterized. The transcript is spliced from 3 exons. Lineage: Eukaryota; Metazoa; Chordata; Mammalia; Perissodactyla; Rhinocerotidae. The record is from RefSeq and is a predicted model, not a curated record.